CCUACGGGAGGCAGCAGUGAGGAAUACCGGUCAAUGGGCGCGAGCCUGAACCAGCCAAGUAGCGUGAAGGAUGACUGCCCUACGGGUUGUAAACCUCUUUUAUACAGGAAUAAAGUGAGGCACGUGUGCCUGUUUGCAUGUACUUUAUGAAUAAGGAUCGGCUAACUCCGUGCCAGCAGCCGCGGUAAUACGGGGGGUCCGGGCGUUAUCCGGAUUUAUUGGGUUUAAAGGGAGCGUAGAUGGGUUGUUAAGUCAGUCGUGAAAGUUUGCGGCUCAACCGUAAAAGUGCGAUUGGUACUGGCGGCCUUGAGUACAGUUGAGGUAGGCGGAAUUCGUGGUGUAGCGGUGAAAUGCUUAGAUAUCACGAAGAACUCCGAUUGCGAAGGCAGCAUACCGGCGCCCAACUGACGCUGAAGCACGAAAGCGUGGGUAUCGAACAGGAUUAGAUACCCUUGUAGUC
RNAcentral lists this ribosomal RNA (460 nucleotides) under uncultured bacterium. RNAcentral describes it as "partial 16S ribosomal RNA". It matches the Rfam family "Bacterial small subunit ribosomal RNA", at positions 338 to 795 of the family's 1533-position model. The record is from RNAcentral.